AUCAGUCAUACUUUCUUCCCACAAGCGAUGACACUGCAGUGGGCGUGUCCUGUUUGUCACGUGGACCCGCUGACCCGGAAGUUGAGACUGGAGAACGACGGUGACUGCUGGAGAUAAACCGGGAGACGGGUGUCGGCCAUGUUGGUGGGGGAGCGGAGGAACGGCAAUCUCCUGGUCCAGCUGGGUGUGAAGCUCCAGGCCCAUCCGGAGGAGCUCCUGCGCCAGCGAUGGAGCGUGGACGGUCACGUGGAGUAUCUGAUCCGCUGGGCGGUGCACAACACGGAGGAGCGGGGCCUGCCAACAAUGGAGCCGCCUCCCAAGCGGAGAACAAGUCCUCCAAUAUCCUGAUGUGGAUGUCCGCCGAGGAGGUGUACAGCAACUGCCCCCACCCUGCUGGGGAAGCGGAAGCCUGAGGGGCCCGGGCUCCUAGAAGAGAAGACCUCCGGGGCCCCAGACGAGGGCGCUCUGCAGGAGAUGACAGAAGAUGUGCGGAUGCUGGUGCAGAGAGCCGCCCGCCAGAUGUCGCAGUCUUGUGGCCCCGACUCGUCCAUCCUCAACACCAUCCACGUGCUGAGCGCUUACGCCAGUAUCGGCUCGCUGGCCGGAGUCUUCAGGGAGACGGGAGCGCUGGACCUGCUCAUGAAGAUGCUCUGCAACCCCGAGAAACAGAUUCCGCAAGAACGCCGGCAAGAUGCUGCGAGCGCUGGCGUCACAUGAUGCAGGGAGUCGCGCCCACGUCUUGUUGUCCCUCAGUCAGCAGGACGGCAUUGAACAACACAUGGACUUUGAGUCGCGCUUUACACUCCUGCAGCUCUUCGCAGAGACCACCAGCUCGGAGGAACAUUGCAUCUCAUUCGAUGGCAUCCACCUC
This is a long non-coding RNA of Hyla sarda, 871 nucleotides long. RefSeq lists it as uncharacterized. The transcript is spliced from 3 exons. The record is from RefSeq and is a predicted model, not a curated record. Lineage: Eukaryota; Metazoa; Chordata; Amphibia; Anura; Hylidae.